This 406-nucleotide ribosomal RNA is filed under the name uncultured bacterium. Its description in RNAcentral is "partial 16S ribosomal RNA". It matches the Rfam family "Bacterial small subunit ribosomal RNA", at positions 30 to 526 of the family's 1533-position model. The record is from RNAcentral.
AUUGAACGCUGGCGGCAGGCCUAACACAUGCAAGUCGAACGAGCGGCGGACGGGUGAGUAAUGUCUGGGGAUCUGCCUGAUAGAGGGGGAUAACUACUGGAAACGGUUGCUAAUACCGCAUACUAUCGGAUGAACCCAUAUGGGAUUAGCUAGUUGGUGGGGUAACGGCUCACCUAGGCGACGAUCCCUAGCUGGUCUGAGAGGAUGAGCAGCCACACUGUGACUGAGACACGGUCCAGACUCCUACGGGAGGAAGCAGUAGGGAAUAUUGGACAAUGGACGAAAGCCUGAUGGAGCAAUGCCGCGUGAAUGAAGAAGGCGUUCGGAUUGUAAAGCACUGUUGUUAGAGAAGCGGUACCCACAGAGAAAGCAACGGCUAACUCCGUGCCAGCAGCCGCGGUAAUUC